RNAcentral lists this ribosomal RNA (407 nucleotides) under Sanguibacter sp. RNAcentral's name for it is "bacterial SSU rRNA". It matches the Rfam family "Bacterial small subunit ribosomal RNA", at positions 104 to 525 of the family's 1533-position model. Lineage: Bacteria; Bacillati; Actinomycetota; Actinomycetes; Micrococcales; Sanguibacteraceae. The record is from RNAcentral.
GGGUGAGUAACACGUGAGUAACCUGCCCUUGACUCUGGGAUAACUCCGGGAAACCGGGGCUAAUACCGGAUACGAGACGCGACCGCAUGGUCGGCGUCUGGAAAGUUUUUCGGUCAAGGAUGGACUCGCGGCCUAUCAGCUUGUUGGUGAGGUAAUGGCUCACCAAGGCGUCGACGGGUAGCCGGCCUGAGAGGGCGACCGGCCACACUGGGACUGAGACACGGCCCAGACUCCUACGGGAGGCAGCAGUGGGGAAUAUUGCACAAUGGGCGAAAGCCUGAUGCAGCGACGCCGCGUGAGGGAUGAAGGCCUUCGGGUUGUAAACCUCUUUCAGUAGGGAAGAAGCGAAAGUGACGGUACCUGCAGAAGAAGCGCCGGCUAACUACGUGCCAGCAGCCGCCGUAACA